AACGAACGCUGGCGGCAUGCCUAACACAUGCAAGUCGAACGAGACCUUCGGGUCUAGUGGCGCACGGGUGCGUAACGCGUGGGAACCUGCCCUUAGGUUCGGAAUAACUCCCCGAAAGGGGUGCUAAUACCGGAUAAUGUCUUCGGACCAAAGAUUUAUCGCCUUUGGAUGGGCCCGCGUUGGAUUAGCUAGUUGGUAGGGUAAAAGCCUACCAAGGGGACGAUCCAUAGCUGGUCUGAGAGGAUGAGCAGCCACACUGGGACUGAGACACGGCCCAGACUCCUACGGGAGGCAGCAGUGGGGAAUAUUGGACAAUGGGCGAAAGCCUGAUCCAGCAAUGCCGCGUGAGUGAUGAAGGCCUUAGGGUUGUAAAGCUCUUUUACCCGGGAUGAUAAUGACAGUACCGGGAGAAUAAGCUCCGGCUAACUCCGUG
RNAcentral lists this ribosomal RNA (433 nucleotides) under uncultured bacterium. Its description in RNAcentral is "partial 16S ribosomal RNA". It matches the Rfam family "Bacterial small subunit ribosomal RNA", at positions 29 to 507 of the family's 1533-position model. The record is from RNAcentral.